Molecule: long non-coding RNA, 1367 nt
Filed under: Sus scrofa (pig)
Lineage: Eukaryota; Metazoa; Chordata; Mammalia; Artiodactyla; Suidae
Description: lncRNA (ENSSSCG00050069029.1)
Source: RNAcentral
GAUAUCAGAGCUCAAGAGAUAUGGACCACAUAUUCUGAUUGAAAGAUGCCUUGCAACCAUUCCUUAGAGAUGGCUGUUUUCAUAUCACGGACUGUUUCAGUGACAGCCCCACAGGUCAAGCGGUGGCCUUUCCCACCGUCCGGAGAGAAGGCUGAUCCCUGCUCCCUGACUUUUCUGUCUGAAGAUGGAGGCCCUGUGGACUUCCUGCUUUUCUACUUCCACGUAAGAGCGCAAGAUUAACUGAAGCAGAACUUUGAACAAGACUCAGCUUUAUGCUCUGGAACCCUUCCCACUGUCAAUUAAUAAUUGACGCUCCUUCCCCUGCCAAUGGCUAAGCCACAGCCAGGCUACUGUGUGGUGGACUCAGAAAUGAUCAGCUCUUAGGAAACCAUCUCAGGCUAGAAAUUGGCACCUGGCUCCAUCUCUGUGCCUUUCAGUGCAUCUGAUUUUGCUUGCCUGUCCCAUAUUUCUCUCUUGCAUCCUGAAUCAAGCACUUAGAGCGAAGUGGCAGGUGCUAAGGAAAUGACUCAGUCAAUUCGAAGACCACAUGAUCCUUAAGCUGAAGCUUCACCCCAAAGGGAAUGUUAAGGUUUUAAUCACUGGUUCUGUUACCUGCUUUCUGUCCACCCAAAGGUUCUGCUCACAAGUGUCUCAUCUUCUCACCCUCAACGAGAUCAUGGACAUGGGAGGGAGACACAGAAGGGGAUGACAGUAUAAGAGGGCAGUAGGGAUGUGUGGGUGGUGUCACGUGUCACCCCCAAUCUGUCAACCUCUGUGGUGUCUUUGGAUAUACAUCUUAAGACCCUGCCACAAAGUCCGUCUUCCUUAGCAAGAGAGCUUUGGUCUUCUAGAUAGUACUGGUCCAUGGGAAAUGGCCUAUUUGUGAACAUCUGAUUGCUGAGAGGGGUUCUCAUUUACAGACAACUAACAAGAUUAAAGUGCUAAUUUAAAAAGUGCUUAGCCUAGAUCUUUCAGCAGCACCAGCCUUGCGAGUUCCUAACUGCUGUUUCUGGGAGUUUAUAAUUGCUGUUUCUGCUAACGGGAGCCAUUUCAUUCCCUUGCAUGGAAAUGGAUCAGAUAAAUCACAUUAGGUAGGUUUACAGAAGCAGGCAAUGACAGGUUCCUCAGAACCGAAAGCUAAAUAACCUGCUAGGGUCUGACUCUCUUUCAUCAGGCUCUCUAUCUUCAAACCCAAUACCUAUUUAGAGCUGCCGAUAACACCCCCUGGAUGCUCCUGGCCCUUGUCCUCAGAAAUAAUGGUCGGUUCCACCGAUGCUAUGGAAUUUAAACAUUUUUGAUACAGUCUAUUAAAAAGAGGGAUUGUAGCUAAUUCAAAUUCAGCAACUUCUAAUAAAAAAAUUAAAAGU